GGCCUCGUCGCCAAGUGGUAAGGCAACGGUUUGCAAAACCGUCAUCCCCGGUUCAAAUCCGGGCGAGGCCUC
This 72-nucleotide transfer RNA is filed under the name Gemmata sp. SH-PL17. RNAcentral's name for it is "tRNA-Cys". It matches the Rfam family "tRNA". From Rfam's summary of the family: Transfer RNA (tRNA) molecules are approximately 80 nucleotides in length. Their secondary structure includes four short double-helical elements and three loops (D, anti-codon, and T loops). The record is from RNAcentral. Lineage: Bacteria; Pseudomonadati; Planctomycetota; Planctomycetia; Gemmatales; Gemmataceae.